UCGCUCAGGUCCUCCCUCAGCUGGUCGAGUCAAUCUUUCGCCUUUUACUAAAGAUUGCCGUGGGGGAGGACACUCUUAUGAGCCUAUAGGCAAAUUUUUGGGAGGACUUACCCGUUUGGGUGAGG
Molecule: small nuclear RNA, 125 nt
Filed under: Rhipicephalus microplus (southern cattle tick)
Lineage: Eukaryota; Metazoa; Arthropoda; Arachnida; Ixodida; Ixodidae
Description: U5 spliceosomal RNA
Rfam family: U5 spliceosomal RNA
About the family: U5 RNA is a component of both types of known spliceosome. The precise function of this molecule is unknown, though it is known that the 5' loop is required for splice site selection and p220 binding, and that both the 3' stem-loop and the Sm site are important for Sm protein binding and cap methylation.
Source: RNAcentral